Molecule: RNase P RNA, 336 nt
Filed under: human gut metagenome
Description: Bacterial RNase P class A
Rfam family: Bacterial RNase P class A
About the family: Ribonuclease P (RNase P) is a ubiquitous endoribonuclease, found in archaea, bacteria and eukarya as well as chloroplasts and mitochondria.
Source: RNAcentral
AGUAAAUUGAGCAGUCGCGGGUAUUUUACCGAAAGGUUGUACGCGAGGAAAGUCCGAGCUCCACAGAGCAAGAUAACGGCUAACGGCCGCCGGGGGCAACCCUAGGGAUAGUGCAACAGAAAUAUACCGCCAACUUUGGUAAGGAUGGAAAGGCGAGGUAAGAGCUCACCAGCGCACGGGAGACUGUGCGGCUAUGUAAACCCUAUCUGGAGCAACACCGCAAAUAAGACAUUUAUGUGCCUGCUCGGUAUGUCUUAAAGGUGGCACUGAGCUAAAUGGUAACAUUUAGCCAAGAUAGAUGACUGCUUUAAACAGAACUCGGCUUAUAGAUUUAGU